This 207-nucleotide ribosomal RNA is filed under the name uncultured bacterium. Its description in RNAcentral is "partial 16S ribosomal RNA". It matches the Rfam family "Bacterial small subunit ribosomal RNA", at positions 568 to 774 of the family's 1533-position model. The record is from RNAcentral.
UGCGUAGGUGGUUUUUUAAGUUAUCUGUGAAAUUCCUGGGCUCAACCUGGGAAGGCCAGAUAAGACUGGAAGACUUGAGUAUAGGAGAGGGCAGUGGAAUUUCCGGUGUAGCGGUGAAAUGCGUAGAGAUCGGAAGGAACACCAGUGGCGAAGGCGACUGCCUGGCCUGAUACUGACACUGAGGCACGAAAGCGUGGGUAGCAAACA